This 731-nucleotide ribosomal RNA is filed under the name Pseudomonas sp. PG_09. RNAcentral's name for it is "bacterial SSU rRNA". It matches the Rfam family "Bacterial small subunit ribosomal RNA", at positions 56 to 780 of the family's 1533-position model. Lineage: Bacteria; Pseudomonadati; Pseudomonadota; Gammaproteobacteria; Pseudomonadales; Pseudomonadaceae. The record is from RNAcentral.
UGCAGUCGAGCGGUAGAGAAGGAGCUUGCUUCUUCUUGAGAGCGGCGGACGGCUCUCCAAAGGCUAGGAAUCUGCCUGGUAGUGGGGGACAACGUCCCUUUUAAGAACGCUAAUACCGCAUACGUCCUACGGGAGAAAGUGGGGGAUCUUCGGACCUCACGCUAUCAGAUGAGCCUAGGUCGGAUUAGCUUGUAGGUGAGGUAAUGGCUCACCUAGGCAACGAUCCGUAACUGGUCUGAGAGGAUGAUCAGUCACACUGGAACUGAGACACGGUCCAGACUCCUACGGGAGGCAGCAGUGGGGAAUAUUGGACAAUGGGCGAAAGCCUGAUCCAGCCAUGCCGCGUGUGUGAAGAAGGUCUUCGGAUUGUAAAGCACUUUAAGUUGGGAGGAAGGGUUGUAGCUUAAUACGCUGCAACCUUGACGUUACCAACAGAAUAAGCACCGGCUAACUCUGUGCCAGCAGCCGCGGUAAUACAGAGGGUGCAAGCGUUAAUCGGAAUUACUGGGCGUAAAGCGCGCGUAGGCGGCUUGAUAAGAUGGGUGUGAAAUCCCCGGGCUUAACCUGGGAACUGCAUCCAUAACUGUCUGGCUAGAGUACAGUAGAGGGUGGUGGAAUUUCCUGUGUAGCGGUGAAAUGCGUAGAUAUAGGAAGGAACACCAGUGGCGAAGGCGACCACCUGGACUGAUACUGACGCUGAGGUGCGAAAGCGUGGGGAGCAAACAGGAUUA